GCUGGUUUUAUUCUUGGUGACAUUCAUUCUGUUGGAAACUUGGCUCCAGUGUUUGACAGGACAAGCAGAGGUGGGUGCCAUGCUCUGGACCUCCAACUGCGAUCUAAGUAAGCCUCUUUUCUUCAUAAAGCACCCAGCCUCGACGGUCCCAUUAUAGUAACACAAAGCAGAUAAGUAUAAAUCAUCUGUAAAAUAUCUCCGAUAAAUAGAAACUGGCUACUGUGGUUUGGAUACCGUGUGGGUGUGUCCCCAACGCAGGGUGUUCCUGUGUCGCAAGUGUGGUCUUCGGUGUGGCAAGUUUAAGAGGUGGUGAGGCCGGGUGUGGUGGCGCACACCUGUAAUCCCAG
RNAcentral lists this long non-coding RNA (347 nucleotides) under Fukomys damarensis (Damara mole-rat). RNAcentral's name for it is "lncRNA (ENSFDAG00000024769.1)". Lineage: Eukaryota; Metazoa; Chordata; Mammalia; Rodentia; Bathyergidae. The record is from RNAcentral.